This 352-nucleotide ribosomal RNA is filed under the name uncultured eukaryote. RNAcentral's name for it is "SSU rRNA". It matches the Rfam family "Eukaryotic small subunit ribosomal RNA", at positions 587 to 972 of the family's 1831-position model. The record is from RNAcentral.
AGCUCCAAUAGCGUAUAUGAAAGUUGUUGCGGUUAAAAAGCUCGUAGUUGGAUUUCUGUUGAGGAUGACCGGUCCGCCCUCUGGGUGUGCAUUUGGCUCAGCCUUGACAUCUUCCUGAAGAACGUAUCUGCACUUGACUGUGUGGUGCGGUAUUCGGGGCAUUUACCUUGGGGAAAUUAGAGUGUUUCAAGCAAGCGCACGCUUUGAAUACAUUAGCAUGGAAAGUAAGAUAGGACCUCAGGUAAUGGUUGAUAGGGAUAGUUGGGGGCAUUCGUAUUUAGCUGUCAGAGGUGAAAUUCUUGGAUUUGUUAAAGACGAACUACCGCGAAAGCAUUUGCCAAGGAUGUUUUCA